This 31-nucleotide non-coding RNA is filed under the name Rattus norvegicus (Norway rat). Lineage: Eukaryota; Metazoa; Chordata; Mammalia; Rodentia; Muridae. The record is from RNAcentral.
UGAAUUGUUGAUACACAGAUUUUUAAAGGAC